AAUGCCUAGGAAUCUGCCUGGUAGUGGGGGACAACGUUUCGAAAGGAACGCUAAUACCGCAUACGUCCUACGGGAGAAAGCAGGGGACCUUCGGGCCUUGCGCUAUCAGAUGAGCCUAGGUCGGAUUAGCUAGUUGGUGAGGUAAUGGCUCACCAAGGCGACGAUCCGUAACUGGUCUGAGAGGAUGAUCAGUCACACUGGAACUGAGACACGGUCCAGACUCCUACGGGGGGCAGCAGUGGGGAAUAUUGGACAAUGGGCGAAAGCCUGAUCCAGCCAUGCCGCGUGUGUGAAGAAGGUCUUCGGAUUGUAAAGCACUUUAAGUUGGGAGGAAGGGCAGUAAGCGAAUACCUUGCUGUUUUGACGUUACCAACAGAAUAAGCACCGGCUAACUCUGUGCCAGCAGCCGCGGUAAUACAGAGGGUGCAAGCGUUAAUCGGAAUUACUGGGCGUAAAGCGCGCGUAGGUGGUUCGUUAAGUUGGAUGUGAAAUCCCCGGGCUCAACCUGGGAACUGCAUCCAAAACUGGCGAGCUAGAGUAGGGCAGAGGGUGGUGGAAUUUCCUGUGUAGCGGUGAAAUGCGUAGAUAUAGGAAGG
This 596-nucleotide ribosomal RNA is filed under the name uncultured bacterium. RNAcentral's name for it is "bacterial SSU rRNA". It matches the Rfam family "Bacterial small subunit ribosomal RNA", at positions 112 to 704 of the family's 1533-position model. The record is from RNAcentral.